RNAcentral lists this transfer RNA (77 nucleotides) under Gammaproteobacteria bacterium. Its description in RNAcentral is "tRNA-Gln". It matches the Rfam family "tRNA". Rfam says of the family: Transfer RNA (tRNA) molecules are approximately 80 nucleotides in length. Lineage: Bacteria; Pseudomonadati; Pseudomonadota; Gammaproteobacteria. The record is from RNAcentral.
UGGGGUGUAGCCAAGUGGCCUAAGGCACCAGAUUUUGAUUCUGGCAUUCGAAGGUUCGAAUCCUUCCACCCCAGCCA